RNAcentral lists this transfer RNA (64 nucleotides) under uncultured Eubacterium sp. It matches the Rfam family "tRNA", at positions 5 to 66 of the family's 71-position model. Rfam says of the family: Transfer RNA (tRNA) molecules are approximately 80 nucleotides in length. Their secondary structure includes four short double-helical elements and three loops (D, anti-codon, and T loops). The record is from RNAcentral. Lineage: Bacteria; Bacillati; Bacillota; Clostridia; Eubacteriales; Eubacteriaceae.
GGAGUAGCCAAGCGGUAAGGCAACGGACUUUGACUCCGUCAUUCGUGGGUUCGAACCCCGCCUC